AUUGAACGCUGGCGGCAUGCUUUACACAUGCAAGUCGAACGGCAGCGCGGGCUUCGGCCUGGCUGCGAGUGGCGAACGGGUGAGUAAUGCAUCGGAACGUGCCCAGUAGUGGGGGAUAGCCCGGCGAAAGCCGGAUUAAUACCGCAUACGACCUGAGGGUGAAAGCGGGGGACCGAAAGGCCUCGCGCUAUUGGAGCGGCCGAUGUCGGAUUAGCUAGUUGGUGGGGUAAAGGCUUACCAAGGCGACGAUCCGUAGCUGGUCUGAGAGGACGACCAGCCACACUGGGACUGAGACACGGACCAGACUCCUACGGGAGGCAGCAGUGGGGAAUGUUGGACAAUGGGGGCAACCCUGAUCCAGCCAUGCCGCGUGCGGGAAGAAGGCCUUCGGGUUGUAAACCGCUUUUGUUCGGGAAGAAAUCCUCUGGGCUAAUACCCCGGGGGGAUGACGGUACCGGAAGAAUAAGCACCGGCUAACUACGUG
RNAcentral lists this ribosomal RNA (484 nucleotides) under uncultured bacterium. RNAcentral's name for it is "partial 16S ribosomal RNA". It matches the Rfam family "Bacterial small subunit ribosomal RNA", at positions 29 to 507 of the family's 1533-position model. The record is from RNAcentral.